GACGUAGGAUGCAAGCGUUGUCCGGAUUUAUUGGGCGUAAAGAGUUCGUAGGUGGUUCAUUAAGUUUGGUGUAAAAGACUGGGGCUCAACUCCGGGAUCGCACUGAAUACUGGUGGACUAGAGUGCAGUAGAGGCAAGCGGAAUUCCCAGUGUAGCGGUGAAAUGCGUAGAUAUCGGGAAGAACACCCGUGGCGAAGGCGGUUCUCUGGGACGGUA
This 216-nucleotide ribosomal RNA is filed under the name uncultured prokaryote. Its description in RNAcentral is "partial 16S ribosomal RNA". It matches the Rfam family "Bacterial small subunit ribosomal RNA", at positions 524 to 739 of the family's 1533-position model. The record is from RNAcentral.